UCUUAUCAAGAGUGGUGGAGGGAUGUGCCCUAAGAAGCCACGGCAACCGUCAUUGUGACAAGGUGCCAAAUCACUGGAUUUAAAAUCCAAAGAUGAGA
Molecule: non-coding RNA, 98 nt
Filed under: Jeotgalicoccus aerolatus
Lineage: Bacteria; Bacillati; Bacillota; Bacilli; Caryophanales; Staphylococcaceae
Description: SAM riboswitch aptamer (S box leader)
Rfam family: SAM riboswitch aptamer (S box leader)
About the family: The SAM riboswitch is found upstream of a number of genes which code for proteins involved in methionine or cysteine biosynthesis in Gram-positive bacteria. The SAM riboswitch acts at the level of transcription termination control.
Source: RNAcentral